RNAcentral lists this long non-coding RNA (463 nucleotides) under Ictidomys tridecemlineatus (thirteen-lined ground squirrel). RNAcentral describes it as "lncRNA (ENSSTOG00000022565.2)". Lineage: Eukaryota; Metazoa; Chordata; Mammalia; Rodentia; Sciuridae. The record is from RNAcentral.
AACUGGUGUGAAAGAAGACCCCCAGUCUAUUUUCAUGUAUACAGUGGGUAAAAAAGAGGAUGAAAAGAAAGAAUCCAUGGUGGAGCUUCUCCACCGCAGCUUACUAAUGGACCCACUCCCUCCAAAACCGCCACUCUCCAAGUCCCAAAAAAGACUGGCUCAGAUUGGGAUCCCUCCUCCCAUACAUACAUUUCCUUAUAACAUUAUGGAUGAUCAUUCCAGCGCUUUCCCGAAGUCUACCAUUAUUAAGAAGAUUCAGAGCAUCAAAAUAUUAGGCUUUCCUGAUUCCAUCCAUGAGAAGAUGAUCUAUGAAGACAAAGUUCCCAGAUACGUUUCAGCAAACCCAGGUCUGUGAUGAUCUUGUCAACUCCCUGGAAUUUGGUGAUUUGGCCCCUAGGGACUGACAGUUGACAAUGUGGCAGCUCCAGUGUAUCUGUUCCCUUGGGGAAUAAGGAAUAGUUCU